AGCGAACGCUGGCGGCAGGCUUAACACAUGCAAGUCGAGCGGGCACUUCGGUGUCAGCGGCAGACGGGUGAGUAACACGUGGGAACGUACCCUUCGGUUCGGAAUAACGCUGGGAAACUAGCGCUAAUACCGGAUACGCCCUUUUGGGGAAAGGUUUACUGCCGAAGGAUCGGCCCGCGUCUGAUUAGCUAGUUGGUGGGGUAAUGGCCUACCAAGGCGACGAUCAGUAGCUGGUCUGAGAGGAUGAUCAGCCACACUGGGACUGAGACACGGCCCAGACUCCUACGGGAGGCAGCAGUGGGGAAUAUUGGACAAUGGGCGCAAGCCUGAUCCAGCCAUGCCGCGUGAGUGAUGAAGGCCUUAGGGUUGUAAAGCUCUUUUGUCCGGGACGACAAUGACGGUACCGGAAGAAUAAGCCCCGGCUAACUUCGU
RNAcentral lists this ribosomal RNA (432 nucleotides) under uncultured bacterium. RNAcentral's name for it is "partial 16S ribosomal RNA". It matches the Rfam family "Bacterial small subunit ribosomal RNA", at positions 29 to 506 of the family's 1533-position model. The record is from RNAcentral.